RNAcentral lists this long non-coding RNA (418 nucleotides) under Capsella grandiflora. RNAcentral describes it as "long non-coding RNA (CGRA_LNC000581)". Lineage: Eukaryota; Viridiplantae; Streptophyta; Magnoliopsida; Brassicales; Brassicaceae. The record is from RNAcentral.
AAAUAAAUAGCUUCGUCGUAGUCUUCUGAAAUCCCUACAACUGAGAAAGUAUCAUACCCUAGGGUUAUUGCUUUUGCUUCUUCUCAACCUCUCCAGAACAUGUACGGUUUCCCCUUCGGUCAACACAAUCCUCCCGUCUUCGGUCAACACAAUCCUCCCGUCUUCGGUCAACACAAUCCCCCCGUCUUCGGUCGUCAGAAUCCUCCCGUCGUCGGAGUAAUAUUCUUCUCCUUAUGCCUCUCUGUUGUUCCUCGAUUAAUGGUAUUUUUUAAUUCUGCCUAUGUAAGACAAUACAUCUGAUUAUAUAUAUUUUUUGUACUUUAGGGAUGGCGACUGUUGGAUGAUCCUGAAAAAAGAGCCUAUUUUCUGAAACCACGACGCAGGUAAAAGUGAUGCUUUGUUUAAUUUCGAGAUUUGU